This 594-nucleotide ribosomal RNA is filed under the name uncultured organism. Its description in RNAcentral is "bacterial SSU rRNA". It matches the Rfam family "Bacterial small subunit ribosomal RNA", at positions 33 to 600 of the family's 1533-position model. The record is from RNAcentral.
ACGCUGGCGGCGUGCUUAACGCAUGCGAGUCGACGAGAACUCCCUGGCUUGCCGGGGAUAGUAAAGUGGCGCACGGGUGAGUAACACGUGAGUAAUCUGCCUUCGAAUCGGGGAUACCCCGCGAAAGCGGGGCUAAUACCGGAUGAAGUCCGGAUGGUUUUGGCUGUUUGGAUGAAAUGUGGCCUCUACAUGUAAGCUACUGUUUGAAGAUGAGCUCGCGGACCAUUAGCUUGUUGGUGGGGUAAAGGCCUACCAAGGCAACGAUGGUUAGCUGGUCUGAGAGGAUGAUCAGUCACACUGGAACUGACACACGGUCCAGACUCCUACGGGAGGCAGCAGUGAGGAAUUUUGCGCAAUGGGGGAAACCCUGACGCAGCAACGCCGCGUGAGUGAUGAAGGCCUUCGGGUCGUAAAGCUCUGUCGAGUGGGAAGAACCUGCAUUGGAGAUAAUAUUCCGAUGCACUGACGGUACCACUGGAGGAAGCACCGGCUAACUCCGUGCCAGCAGCCGCGGUACUACGGAGGGUGCAAGCGUUAUUCGGAAUCAUUGGGCGUAAAGGGCACGUAGGCGGUAUGCUGGGUCGGAUGUGAAAU